Molecule: long non-coding RNA, 367 nt
Organism: Peromyscus eremicus (cactus mouse)
Lineage: Eukaryota; Metazoa; Chordata; Mammalia; Rodentia; Cricetidae
Exons: 3
Source: RefSeq, a predicted model, not a curated record
CCAGUGCUCAUCCCUCACAAGGAAUAGCUUCAGUCUGCUUUAAACACUGGGCCACACCCCAAAUCUCUACACGUCCUCUCGGUGUUUACCUGGAGACCCAAAGCUAUGAUGAUGAUUGACACCGUGUUUCCUGGCUGGGAGGUCCGUGGUUGCCCUGUCCCCAUGUGUAAGGAUCAAGGGAAGUGAUAACCUUCAUCCAGUACUAACGGAAGCAGAUGCAGAGAUCCACAGCUAAGCACUUUGUGGAGCUCCCGGAGUCCAGUUGAAGCAAAGGAGGAGAGAUUAUAUGAGCAAAGGGGACAAGAUCAUGAUGGGGAAUCCCACAGAGACCUGAGCUAAUGGGAGCUCACUGACUCUGGACUGACAA